AUGUUAAAACCCUAUCUGUGCCGUGCUGAAGUUAAGGACGAUACUGUCAACAUUUCCGGAGGUGACUCAGCGAUUGAGUUAAAGGAGAGCGCUUCAUUAUUAACUUAUACUUUGCCUACCGAGGAUGUGGAUGAUGGAUUAAAUGUGUCAAUGGAAGUCUUAAGUGGUGGUGGUUUGAAGAACUCUGAGGUUUUAUUAACUCUUCCUUCUCAGCUUUCUUAUUUGUCCAAAGAACAGCAGCAGGAUAUAGGAAAAUUGUUGGGGAGUUUUCCUAAUUUAUUUAAUGACGUUCCACCCGGUACUUCGGUCAUUAAGCAUGAUAUCAACGUUAGUAAUGCAUUGCCAAUUAAGCAACAUGCAUAUUGUUGUCUGGUAAGUAAGAGGGAGGCAAUGAAGUGUGACUUUGCUGUUAAGAGUAGCAGCCCAUGGAGUUCGCCAUGCGUUUUAGUGCCAAAAGCUGAUGGAUCUUUUCAUUUUUGUACGGAUUUCCAUAAGAUUAAUUCCGUUACUACGCCUGACGCUUUUCCGCUACCGCGCAUCAAUGAUUGUAUCAAUAGUCUUGGGGUCGCUAAGUAUAUUACGAAAUUAGAUCUCUUAAAAGGUUAUUGGCAGGUGCCUUUAACCGAGCGCACUUCUGAGAUAUCUGCGUUUGUGACCCCGGAUACGUUCCUUCAAUAUACGUGGAUGGCGUUCAGCCUGCGGAAUGCACCAGCGACAUUUCAGUGCUUGAUGUCCUUGGUUCUGGGCGAAGUUCCUAAUUGUAACAUUUAUUUGGAGGACGUAGUUAUCUACUCCUCUACCUGGGCAGAACACUUGUCGAGUUUACAUGAUGUGUUUCAUCGUUUAUCUGUCGCAUCCCUCACAUUAAAUCUCAAAAAGUGUGAGUUUGCAAAAGCUUCAGUCACCUAUUUGGGAAAACAGGUGGGAAAUGGUCAGGUGAGGCCAAUGGAUGGGAAAAUAGUUGCUGUCCUUGAGGAUCCAUUACCUACUACAAGGCGGGAGCUGCGUAGAUUCCUUGGAAUGGUGGGAUACUACCGGUGUUUCUGUAAGAAUUCUUCAAGUGUUGUUGCUCCUUUGACCCAAUUGUGUAGUCCGAAAGUUUUAGUUGGACUAAUGACUGUCAACAGGCAUUUUGUCUGCAAAAUCCCUUCUUUGCAGUGCUCCUGUCCUCUCUGCUCCGGAGGUGUCCCGUGCAUUCCAACUGGAGGUGGAUGCGAGUGCUGUUGGAGCGGGAGCUGUCCUUCUACAGGAGGGUGCUGA
Long non-coding RNA from Cyprinus carpio (common carp), 1260 nucleotides. The record is from Ensembl. NCBI's taxonomy places the organism in Eukaryota, Metazoa, Chordata, Actinopteri, Cypriniformes, Cyprinidae.